CGGACGAGUGAGUAAUGCAUGGGAAUCUGCCCGGUAGUGGGGGAUAACCUUUCGAAAGGAAGGCUAAUACCGCGUACGUCCUACGGGAGAAAGUGGGGUUUCGGCCUCACGCUAUCGGAUGAGCCCAUGUCGGAUUAGCUAGUUGGUGAAGUAAUGGUUUACCAAGGCGACGAUCCGUAGCUGGUCUGAGAGGAUGAUCAGCCACACCGGAACUGAGACGCGGUCCGGACUCCUACGGGAGGCAGCAGUGGGGAAUAUCGGACAAUGGGGGCAACCCUGAUCCAGCCAUGCCGCGUGUGUGAAGAAGGCCUUCGGGUUGUAAAGCACUUUCAGCGAGGAGGAAAGCAGUUAGGUUAAUACCCUGAUUGUGUGACGUUACUCGCAGAAGAAGCACCGGCAAACUCCGUGCCAGCAGCCGCGGUAAUACGGAGGGUGCAAGCGUUAAUCGGAAUUACUGGGCGUAAAGCGCGCGUAGGUGGCUUGAUAAGCCGGUUGUGAAAGCCCCGGGCUCAACCUGGGAACGGCAUCCGGAACUGUCAGGCUAGAGUGCAGGAGAGGAAGGUAGAAUUCCCGGUGUAGCGGUGAAAUGCGUAGAGAUCGGGAGGAAUACCAGUGGCGAAGGCGGCCUUCUGGACUGACACUGACACUGAGGUGCGAAAGCGUGGGUAGCAAACAGGAUUAGAUACCCUGGUAGUCCACGCCGUAAACGAUGUCGACCAGCCGUUGGGUGCCUAGCGCACUUUUGUGGCGAAGUUAACGCGAUAAGUCGACCGCCUGGGGAGUACGGCCGCAAGGUUAAAACUCAAAUGAAUUGACGGGGGGCCCGCACAAGCGGGGGAGCAUGUGGUUUAAUUUCGACGCAACGCCGAAGAACCUUACC
This 880-nucleotide ribosomal RNA is filed under the name uncultured bacterium. RNAcentral's name for it is "bacterial SSU rRNA". It matches the Rfam family "Bacterial small subunit ribosomal RNA", at positions 99 to 975 of the family's 1533-position model. The record is from RNAcentral.